Non-coding RNA from Ditylenchus destructor, 74 nucleotides. The record is from the annotation of a GenBank genome assembly. Lineage: Eukaryota; Metazoa; Nematoda; Chromadorea; Rhabditida; Anguinidae.
GGCUGUGUAGUGUAGCUGGUUAGCACAUUGCUCCGGAUAAGCAAAGGCCCCUGGUUCGAGUCCAGCCACCGCCA